CUCUUUUUUAAUUUCCCAUAGUCCCCCAAAUCUGAUGUUUUGUAUAUUCAAUUAUUCUGAACAUAAAUCUUGUUUCAAUCAUCUCUCCAAGGGAAAUGUCCAAACAUCAUCACUGUUUUCAAAAGUUUUAACUUAUCAUCGUGACUGAAAAUAGAAGGCUUUAGUGUUACAAGGCUAAAGAAUUCAGAAAUAGAGCCGAAGUCUACUCACUGCAACUUUACACUUUGCAUGCAUAGGAGUACGUGUUCUAUAAUGCUUCUCAUUAGGCUACCUGCGGCGCAGUACUUACAGAAAGACUUGACAGAUCUAAAAUGUCACUACAAUCACUUUUACCAAGUGCUGCCAACCAGGCAGUGUUAUGCUCUACAAGUCUCCCUGUGCAAGAAAUGUUCCAGUGACAGAAGGCCCAGAAAAAAACAAAACAUGAGUGCAGACAGAAAGCUCACAGCGGAAGAGCAGAAACAAAGCCUACAGGAUACAUGGCUACUUUCCCCUUUGCAGUUGGCCAAGCAGAUGGACAUCCUGGAAAAAAGGCAGCCAGGGCUUAGCGAAAGGCAAGCAGUGUUACUGCCAGAUCUUCCCAGGAGAGAUAACCUACUAGUCAUGUUUGAGGUUUUGACUUUAUUCUACACCCAUCAGGAUGAAUGGAUUCAAGCACCAAAUUGUACAAGGGAUUAAGAGAUCCACUUUGCUGGGGCUUUUGACGUGUUUCAGUCAAGUAGAUGGAAAGCAGUUCAUAAGAGAGAACUCUCACCCACUGGGACAUACUGAAAAACCAGAGCACUGCGGAGCUGUUUAAAUUUUAUCUAUUUUUCUUUAUCCCACACUGUUUCCUAAAAAGAAAUCCCUGACUAUUCUGUGUCUGAUGGAAACCAGUGUGCUGGGUUGAAACUCCAUUUAAGGACUCUCAGAAGUGGUUUAUUUUUAUUGUUCAGUUCAAUGUGUGGGAAGAGUCAAAGUGUAAUAUUUGAAAUUUAAAGUGAGUUCUUUAAAAAAGGAGUUCUUUAGCAUUUCUGAGAACUCACACAUUUUCAGGCAUUUGUAACUGGAAAGGAUGAUCUUAGGAACUUAGAUCUUUAAAAUAGGUUUUCGUUUUUAAAUUUCAAUUUAAAACACAUUUUAACAAUAAAAAUAGAAUAACCCAUAGAAUAGAGCGUCAGCUAUACCGUAGUGCUCCACUUCACUUCAUUUCCUAUAGACAUUUUCUGCUCUGCAGUAUUGGUGCUUAAUUCUGUUCCCACCAUGAUCCCCUGUUUUCACAUUCCAGUGAUUUCUCCUUGGCAGUUGCUUAGAUGUGCUUCAGUAGCAUAAAGUGUCUCAGAGACUGAUAAUCUCUGCCUUCAUCUACCUAGAAAUGAAUGUAUUUUGCAAACUCUUCCAAAGACAUGGUCUUUUCUAUGCUGUUGUGUAACAAAACUUUAGAAAUAUUUUCCAUUUUAGUGUUUGAAUGGAUGACAUGUCGAUACCAUCACUAUUCAGUUCUUUUCAUCUUUGAGACAAAUGUAUUCCCUUAGUAUUUCUGAUAUAAGUUAACCAAAACAUAUAUUUAUUUAAAUAAUAUUAGCAAUUAAUAUUCUAAAUUGAUUUACAAUUAAACACACCUUAUGAUUAGUUGUCAUGAAUACUUUAAUAAAAAUAAUAAUUCCUUUGGAGUCAGACAUAGUCAUACAUUGUUUUCAUCUAGGAAAAGCAGGACAGGCUGUAGUUGUUGGACUCUCUGACAGCUACAGUCCUAGAAUCAAAUCCCAAGUGCAUCACCAACUGCCUUACUUGAGGUGAAAAUGUAACACCAAUUCUUUUAUGUGUUAAAUGGGGAUAAAUAGUACAUAACUUUUAAAGCAAUAAUUAAAUAUAACACUUAUCCUUUUUUUUAAAUCAAUUAAAGUUCAAUGCAGUCACACUCCCAUGAGUGCACAAAAGGUCAAAGAAACAGAUUUCUACUUAGAUUUAUGCAAAUAUUUAAUAACAGA
Long non-coding RNA from Chinchilla lanigera (long-tailed chinchilla), 1970 nucleotides. Lineage: Eukaryota; Metazoa; Chordata; Mammalia; Rodentia; Chinchillidae. The record is from Ensembl.